RNAcentral lists this transfer RNA (110 nucleotides) under Aspergillus campestris IBT 28561. Its description in RNAcentral is "tRNA-Leu". It matches the Rfam family "tRNA". From Rfam's summary of the family: Transfer RNA (tRNA) molecules are approximately 80 nucleotides in length. Their secondary structure includes four short double-helical elements and three loops (D, anti-codon, and T loops). Lineage: Eukaryota; Fungi; Ascomycota; Eurotiomycetes; Eurotiales; Aspergillaceae. The record is from RNAcentral.
GGCAAGAUGGCCGAGCGGUCCAAGGCGACAGGUUAAGGUGUACCUUAACAACAACUUUACAAGUUCCUGUUCUUCAUUUGAAGGCGUGGGUUCGAAUCCCACUCUUGUCA